UAGACCAAUAACCUUAUAUAACUUAUGUAAACUAUUUCGAUGUUUUGUGGUAACACUGGUAACAUCCAGAUUCUGAAAUGUUACUGUCGAUGGCAAAAUAUCGAACAUCGACCAAAAAAUAUCGAUGUUUUUGUAACAUCGAUGAAUAUCCGACAUGCCUACAAACUACAAACAGCUGAUUCCUGUCAUAACUUUUUUUUGUUGGUUAUGGUUAUAUGAUGUGUAUUAAUUACAAAUAAAUUGUUAUGUAUAAAUUUUUUAAAUUAUUGCAAAUAUUAGGAAUUAAUCCUUACUAUGUCGAACAUCUCCCAAACACCAAUGUAUUUUAAUUAAAAGUGGAUUCAACUAUCAAUAUUCUAGGUGGAUUAAGCAGAAGGAUUGUAAACUUGUAAAAAAAAUGCUUAGAAGUUUUUGUAAUGUUUAUGCUUUGUCGAAGAUUUUCACAAUUAAACAAUGUCUAUUUAAUACUCAGCUUUCUAUUGGCUGCAGGCUUUUUAUUUGAAAUGAAAGUCCUUUAUCAUGGACAUCAGAGAACUCUCCGAUUAGCUGAUUAUGACUCUCGGUUAAAUGAUCUAUCAGAUAACAUAAAAUCCGUUAUGAGGAUAGCAAAUGUUACAUCUGACCUGUCACAGAGACUGCACUAUUCUUUAAAAAGGAAAAGGCUUCAUAAUAAAAGCAAAUUAAGUUAACAUUACUAUCAGAGUGAUGCAACCAAAGAUUCUACCAGUCAGUCUAUAUGGUGACAAAUACAUGCACAAAUUUUAAGGAAAGGUACUAACAAGCUUCACUACAUUAAUUAUAGGAAAUGUAGUUUAUUUUUAAAAAAUGUGUGUGAUGAUAAGUUAUGGCCAGUACAACUAUUUUACCAAAUUAUGAAUUAUGUUAAAAGAUCAUUUAUCAUCCCAAAUAGCUAUGCACAAUAGAACUUUAAGAUAAUUCUAAGUAUAUUUCUCGGCCUACUUGAAUCAAUAGUAUUAGAUGUUGUAAUAAUAUUAUAAGUAAGGUAUGGGCAACUUGUUUUUUAUGAUUAAUUAACUGAUUUUACUGUAUGUAAUCCAGCACAAUUAUAGUUAUGCAAAAACUAGUAUAUAAGAAAGUAAAUAUUUUCAAUUUUCAUAUUUAGAUAACUUCUUGUCCAAGUGAGUGUUUUCACUUAUACACUUUAAGUGUUACAUUCUUAUUUUAUUACUUUGGCAUUAUGCUUAUAGCAUUUGCAAGAUGUCAUUUAUUUAAUGGAGGACAGCUGCCACCAAAUUAAAGCAACCAGAGCCAAGCAUGAUUAAACAAAACUUAAAAUUUUUUUUUUAAUUAUUUGUUGUAACAUUUUCAAAAACUUAAACUUUGUACACCUUGCUUUUUUUACAUAUGUAUGCCAUAAGCUAAAGAUAUGACUAAAUCUGCUAUGUCUGCUGGGUUGUGUGACUUACAGGUGCAUUCUCCCAUGUUAUGAUUGUCUAAUCAAUUUCAAUUCACUAAUUUUUAAAUUUGUUUUAAAUUCUAGAUAACCAAAGAAUAUUUUCAACUCACUUAUUUGAAACCAAAUCAGAAUACCUUGUUUAUAAUUAAAAUGGUUAGCCAAUCCUUAAAGUAAAUACAAAUCUUGUUCAAUCAGCUUUCUAAAAACAUGUGGAUUAUGAGGUAUAUUAAAAACAUUAAGUGGCAUUAUCUAGCAAGCAUAGCAAAAUUAUUAUAUUCAUUUUAAGCCACAUUUCUUUAUUUUGUUUAAACUGUCAAUUUUAAUAGAUAAUAUUACAUAACAUUCUAUAUAUAUAAUGUUGAACAUUAAAACACUAUUAAAAAAUAUUAAGUGUGUGAUAAAUACAUAAUUGCAAACCAGGAGUGUACUAGAGUAGUGUGUACAGUAAAAGCAGUAGUUAAAAAGUUAUUUGCUAUAUUUUCUAUACAUUAAUAUUUAAAAUAAGUAUAAUGUUCUCUUUGGGGAAAAUGAUGUGAGCCACCUCAGGCCAUUUACAUUGAAAAGUUUCAACACUUUUUGUUAUGAACUAGUCAUUUUACUUUAUCUCUGCUUGCCUUCUACAGUUACCUUAUUGGAUAAAUAUUUUUAAUAUACCUGUUAUUUGUAAAAUAUUCUGCUGCAUUUGACAUGUGUGUUACAUGUCAAUUAACAUCUACACGGCAUAAAUGCCGAUUUUUUAAACAGCACUGAGAUGUUCUAGUGAACCUUGUCUUAAAGCUUUAAACCAGAAGUAGAAAUAAAUACAUUAGAUUUUUCACAAUUUGUAUAAUCUUAAGUUCUUAAGAGGAAAUCUUAGAAGGUCCACUUAAUUAAACUAAAGUAGUGCAGUAAUUAGAAGUCAAUUUUAAAAUUUGUUGAUGUAUGAUAUAUAGAUAGUAUGUUUCAUAUUAUUGUGCUCUUGAUGUAAAUAUAUGGCCAAAUAGCUCUUACCAAAUUUAGGGUAGCAAUUAAGUCAAUUCUAAUUUAUGAAUGCAACUAAAUAAACAAGCCUAUUUAUCAGUUAGUUGGCUGCUGUCUAGAUAAAUACAUAUGUUCCAUAAAAUUAUAAUUUCAUGCCUUAGAUGUAUAUGUAAUCUGACCUGUUUGACCAUUAAAUUCCAAAAUAAUAGAUCCUAAGAAUUCUAAUGAUUAAAAAAUUCAAUGCUUUGAUAUACUUUUUGAACAAAAAUUCAACAAAACUUCAUUCUGGAUACCAACAUUUCUAUUAAGGUUUUCUCAACACCAGUAGUGACAUUAAAUCCUUCCAUCUACGUUAUUAAUAACAUCGUUGAUUGAAAAGGGAAGCGCCUUGAAUUGAUUGAAAAAGCGCCUCUUCAAUCAACGAUAACAUGUUCAAUUUUCUUUUUUUUUUUAACCAAAAGAUGUAUGUAAUGUUGCCGUAAUGGGUGGGAUCAGCACAGGUUUAAUUGUAAUUUUCACCUGGAGAAAAGCUAAUCUAUGUAAGUUGUCCAAGCUUCAUAAAAAGUUAUGCACUAGGCUACAGCUCAAAUAAUAGAUUUUAUUAUUGUUACAUGUUAUUAUUUAUUAAUUCUAGGAUAUUUUUUACUAACUUAUUAUAUGUAUAGUAUAUUAUAUUGUACUUAUGUAAUAAUUGUAUUAUGAUCUGUUACUAAGUUUGAAAUUUUAUUCAGUGUUUUGUAAUUUUUAUGUAACAAUAAAAUAUAUUUAUAUUCAUUAAAAA
This 3158-nucleotide long non-coding RNA is filed under the name Anthonomus grandis grandis. RNAcentral's name for it is "uncharacterized LOC126740300". Lineage: Eukaryota; Metazoa; Arthropoda; Insecta; Coleoptera; Curculionidae. The record is from RNAcentral.